Molecule: non-coding RNA, 334 nt
Organism: Salvia hispanica
Lineage: Eukaryota; Viridiplantae; Streptophyta; Magnoliopsida; Lamiales; Lamiaceae
Source: RefSeq, a predicted model, not a curated record
UAAUGAUCAAAAUCAGACCUCAAGUGAUUUUGUGCAAUGGGCCUGGGACUUGUAUACCACUAUGUGCCAUUGCUUUUGUUUUCAAGUGGCCACAGCUGAAGAGCAAAUACCCUCGAGCUAAUUAUGUUGGUCGUCUCAUGUAACACGACUCUUGUUCUUGCUCCUUUUAGGUCGAACCAGAGUAAGCAAGUAUAUAUAGAUUAUAGGGUUAGUUUGCCAUUCUUUAAAUAUGUGCAUGAGUUGCAAUGAAACAUAUGGCAAGAGCUAAUAUUUCAUUCCAUUUUGAUAGUAGAUGAAGCAAUCUAAUAGAUUUUUUUCAUCCAAAGGCUAAGAA